RNAcentral lists this ribosomal RNA (456 nucleotides) under uncultured Mollicutes bacterium. RNAcentral's name for it is "bacterial SSU rRNA". It matches the Rfam family "Bacterial small subunit ribosomal RNA", at positions 924 to 1382 of the family's 1533-position model. Lineage: Bacteria; Bacillati; Mycoplasmatota; Mollicutes. The record is from RNAcentral.
CACAAGCGGUGGAGUAUGUUGUUUAAUUCGAAGAUACACGAAGAACCUUACCAGGUCUUGACAUACCAUUGACAGGUGUAGAGAUACACUCUCCUUCGGGCAAUGGAUACAGGUGGUGCAUGGUUGUCGUCAGCUCGUGCCGUGAGGUGUUGGGUUUAAGUCCCGCAACGAGCGCAACCCUCAUUGUUAGUUACUACCAUUCAGUUGAGGACUCUAAUGAGACUGCCAACGACAAGUUGGAGGAAGGUGGGGAUGACGUCAAAUCAUCAUGCCCUUUAUGACCUGGGCUACAAACGUACUACAAUGGCCAAUACAAAGAGAUGCGAAGCGGUGACGUGAAGCGAACCUCAGAAAGUUGGUCUCAGUUCAGAUUGAAGUCUGCAACUCGACUUCAUGAAGGCGGAAUCGCUAGUAAUCGCGGGUCAGCAGACCGCGGUGAAUACGUUCCCGGGUUUU